Molecule: ribosomal RNA, 405 nt
Filed under: Fusobacteriota bacterium
Lineage: Bacteria; Fusobacteriati; Fusobacteriota
Description: Fusobacteria bacterium partial 16S ribosomal RNA
Rfam family: Bacterial small subunit ribosomal RNA
Source: RNAcentral
UAGGGAAUCUUGCACAAUGGGCGCAAGCCUGAUGCAGCAACGCCGCGUGCGCGAUGAAGGCCUUCGGUUUGUAAAGCGCUUUCCUGGAGGACGAGGAAGGACGGUACUCCAGGAAUAAGGCUCGGCUAACUACGUGCCAGCAGCCGCGGUAAAACGUAGGAGCCAAGCGUUAUCCGAAUUUAUUGGGCGUAAAGCGCAUGCAGGCGGUUGGGUAAGUUGGCUGUGAAAUCUCCCGGCUCAACUGGGAGGAGACGGUCAAGACUGCCCGACUGGAGGCAGAUAGAGGGAGGUGGAAAUCCCGGUGUAGUGGUGAAAUGCGUAGAUAUCGGGAGGAACACCAGUGGCGAAAGCGGCCUCCUGGAACUGAACUGACGCUCAAACGCGAAAGCUAGGGGAGCAAACGGG